This 1473-nucleotide ribosomal RNA is filed under the name Candidatus Pelagibacter communis. RNAcentral's name for it is "bacterial SSU rRNA". It matches the Rfam family "Bacterial small subunit ribosomal RNA". The record is from RNAcentral. Lineage: Bacteria; Pseudomonadati; Pseudomonadota; Alphaproteobacteria; Candidatus Pelagibacterales; Candidatus Pelagibacteraceae.
AACUUGAGAGUUUGAUCAUGGCUCAGAACGUACGCUGGCGGCACGCCUAACACAUGCAAGUCGAACGAAGUAGCAAUACUUAGUGGCAGACGGGUGAGUAACAUGUGGGUAUCUGCCCUUUGGCCUGGAAUAACACGAGGAAACUUGUGCUAAUACCGGAUAAGUCUUUACGGAGAAAGCUUUAUGCACCAUUGGAUGAGCCCGCACUUGAUUAGUUUGUUGGUGGGGUAAUGGCCUACCAAGACUGUGAUCAAUAGCUGAUUUGAGAGGAUGAUCAGCCACAUUGGGACUGAGACACGGCCCAAACUCCUACGGGAGGCAGCAGUGGGGAAUCUUGCACAAUGGAGGAAACUCUGAUGCAGCGAUGCCGCGUGAGUGAAGAAGGCCCUUGGGUUGUAAAGCUCUUUCGUCGGGGAAGAAAAUGACUGUACCCGAAUAAGAAGGUCCGGCUAACUUCGUGCCAGCAGCCGCGGUAAUACGAAGGGACCUAGCGUAGUUCGGAAUUACUGGGCUUAAAGAGUUCGUAGGUGGUUGAAAAAGUUGGUGGUGAAAUCCCAGAGCUUAACUCUGGAACUGCCAUCAAAACUUUUCAGCUAGAGUAUGAUAGAGGAAAGCAGAAUUUCUAGUGUAGAGGUGAAAUUCGUAGAUAUUAGAAAGAAUACCAAUUGCGAAGGCAGCUUUCUGGAUCAUUACUGACACUGAGGAACGAAAGCAUGGGUAGCGAAGAGGAUUAGAUACCCUCGUAGUCCAUGCCGUAAACGAUGUGUGUUAGACGUUGGAAAUUUAUUUUCAGUGUCGCAGCGAAAGCGAUAAACACACCGCCUGGGGAGUACGACCGCAAGGUUAAAACUCAAAUGAAUUGACGGGGACCCGCACAAGUAGUGGAGCAUGUGGUUUAAUUCGAAGAUACGCGCAGAACCUUACCAACACUUGACAUGUUCGUCGCGACUUUAAGAGAUUAAAGUUUUCGGUUCGGCCGGACGAAACACAGGUGCUGCAUGGCUGUCGUCAGCUCGUGUCGUGAGAUGUUGGGUUAAGUCCCGCAACGAGCGCAACCCUCACUUUUAGUUGCCAUCAUUAAGUUGGGCACUCUGAAAGAACUGCCAGUGAUAAGCUGGAGGAAGGUGGGGAUGACGUCAAGUCCUCAUGGCCCUUACGUGUUGGGCUACACACGUGCUACAAUGGUAUCUACAACAGGAAGCAAGACUGCGAAGUUAAGCAAAUCCCUAAAAGAUACCUCAGUUCGGAUUGCACUCUGCAACUCGAGUGCAUGAAGCUGGAAUUACUAGUAAUCGUGGAUCAGCGUGCCACGGUGAAUGCGUUCCCGGGUCUUGUACACACCGCCCGUCACACCAUGGGAGUUGGUUCUACCUUAAGGCAAGGUUUAAAACCCUUGACCACGGUAUAGUCAGCGACUGGGGUGAAGUCGUAACAAGGUAGCCGUAGGGGAACCUGCGGCUGGAUUACCUCCUU